UACGGGGGGAGCAAGCGUUGUUCGGAUUUACUGGGCGUAAGGGGCGCGUAGGCGGCGUGACAAGUCACUUGUGAAAUCUCCGGGCUUAACCCGGAGCGGUCAAGUGAUACUGUCGUGCUAGAGUGCGGAAGGGGCUACUGGAAUUCUCGGUGUAGCGGUGAAAUGCGUAGAUAUCGAGAGGAACACCUGCGGCGAAGGCGGGUAGCUGGGCCGACACUGACGCUGAUGCGCGAAAGCCAGGGGAGCGAACGGG
RNAcentral lists this ribosomal RNA (253 nucleotides) under uncultured bacterium. RNAcentral describes it as "partial 16S ribosomal RNA". It matches the Rfam family "Bacterial small subunit ribosomal RNA", at positions 524 to 776 of the family's 1533-position model. The record is from RNAcentral.